UCUAGCGACAAUAGCGACAUGGCCCCACCUGAUCCCAUUCCGAACUCAGAAGUGAAACGUG
RNAcentral lists this ribosomal RNA (61 nucleotides) under Colwellia sp. MB3u-4. Lineage: Bacteria; Pseudomonadati; Pseudomonadota; Gammaproteobacteria; Alteromonadales; Colwelliaceae. The record is from RNAcentral.